GAUUUCGUAGCUCAGUUGGUCUAAAGCGUUGGACUGUAAAUCCAAAAUGGUUUUUCCAUGUCAACAGUUCGAAUCUGUUCGAAAUCA
Transfer RNA from Blastocystis hominis, 87 nucleotides. It matches the Rfam family "tRNA". Rfam says of the family: Transfer RNA (tRNA) molecules are approximately 80 nucleotides in length. Their secondary structure includes four short double-helical elements and three loops (D, anti-codon, and T loops). Lineage: Eukaryota; Bigyra; Opalinata; Blastocystidae. The record is from Rfam.